GCAUUGCUGAAGAGUCCCAGAAUAGGACGAAACAUCUAUCCAGUAC
RNAcentral lists this non-coding RNA (46 nucleotides) under Trichobilharzia regenti. Lineage: Eukaryota; Metazoa; Platyhelminthes; Trematoda; Strigeidida; Schistosomatidae. The record is from RNAcentral.